RNAcentral lists this ribosomal RNA (450 nucleotides) under uncultured bacterium. RNAcentral's name for it is "bacterial SSU rRNA". It matches the Rfam family "Bacterial small subunit ribosomal RNA", at positions 355 to 825 of the family's 1533-position model. The record is from RNAcentral.
UCAAGAAACUUCCACAAUGGGCGAAAGCCUGAUGGAGCGACGUCGCGUGAUGGACGAAGUGCUUCGGCACGUAAACAUCUUUUAUGUGGGAUGAAAUUAUUGACAGUACCACAUGAAUAAGGGGCUCCCAACUCUGUGCCAGCAGGAGCGGUAAUACAGAGGCCCCAAGCGUUAUCCGGAAUCACUGGGCGUAAAGGGUGUCGAGGCGGUUGUAUUAGUCGUUCGUAAAAUCUACGAGCUUAACUUGUAGGCGGCGAACGAAACGGUACGACUUGAGGUUUGGAGAGGUGCGUGGAACUCACGGUGUAGGGGUGAAAUCCGUUGAUAUCGUGGGGAACACCAAAGGCGAAGGCAGCGCACUGGCCAAAAUCUGACGCUCACACACGAAAGCUAGGGUAGCGAAGAGGAUUAGAUACCCUAGUAGUCCCUGAGCGGGCUGGCAAGGCGCAU